CCUCCUUAACGAUAAAUUCGCGUUUUAAACGCCCACACGAGUAAUCAAAUAUUAAGAAAGAACAUAUUGUUAUGUAAAAUUAUUGGUAUGUAAUUUUCUAGUGUAUGCAUAUGCAUACAUAAGAUCACUGCAAUUAAAAAGUAAUUAAUAAUAUUUUAUUAAGUUACUCUCAAAAAAAUAAUUAAGUAACCUUUUUUAAGGUUAUAUGAUCAAGUAAAGGAAGAGCACAAGGCGGAUGCCUUGGCAGCAUAAGGCGAUGAAGGACGUAAUAACCUGCGAUAAGCCUCGGGGAGCUGGUAAAUAAGCUUCGAUCCGAGGAUUUCCGA
Molecule: unclassified non-coding RNA, 326 nt
Filed under: uncultured SAR86 cluster bacterium
Lineage: Bacteria; Pseudomonadati; Pseudomonadota; Gammaproteobacteria
Description: partial 16S-23S ribosomal RNA intergenic spacer
Rfam family: Bacterial large subunit ribosomal RNA (bases 208-326)
Source: RNAcentral